GACGAACGCUGGCGGCGUGCUUAACACAUGCAAGUCGAACGGAAAGGCCUGCUUUCCCUUGUGGAUUGCGGGUACUCGAGUGGCGAACGGGUGAGUAACACGUGAGUGAUCUGCCCCCAACUUGGGUAUAAGCCUGGGAAACUGGGUCUAAUUCCCGAUAGGACUGCAGGGUGGUGCCUGUGGUGGAAAACGAUUUUCUAGUGGUUGGGGAUGAGCUCGCGGCCUAUCAGCUUGUUGGUGGGGUAAUGGCCUACCAAGGCGGCGACGGGUAGCCGGCCUGAGAGGGUGGACGGCAACAUUGGGACUGAGAUACGGCCCAGACUCCUACGGGAGGCAGCAGUGGGGAAUAUUGCACAAUGGGCGGAAGCCUGAUGCAGCGACGCCGCGUGGGGGAUGACGGACUUCGGGUUGUAAACUCCUUUCGACCGCGAGGAAGCCACCUGGUUGGAAGGGUGGUGACGGUAGUGGUAGAAGAAGCACCGGCUAACUACGUG
This 494-nucleotide ribosomal RNA is filed under the name uncultured bacterium. RNAcentral's name for it is "partial 16S ribosomal RNA". It matches the Rfam family "Bacterial small subunit ribosomal RNA", at positions 28 to 507 of the family's 1533-position model. The record is from RNAcentral.